UAGUUGGCGGGGUAACGGCCCACCAAGUCUACGAUGGGUAGCUGAUGUGAGAGCAUGAUCAGCCACAUGGGCACUGAGACACGGGCCCAACUCCUACGGGAGGCAGCAGUAAGGAAUAUUGGUCAAUGGACGCAAGUCUGAACCAGCCAUGCCGCGUGAAGGAUUAAGGUCCUCUGGAUUGUAAACUUCUUUUAUAGGGGGAGAAACACUCGUUUUCCAACGAGCUUGACGGUACCCUAUGAAUAAGCACCGGCCAACUCCGUGCCAGCAGCCGCGGUAAUACGGAGGGUGCAAGCGUUAUCCGGAUUUACUGGGUUUAAAGGGUGCGUAGGCGGAUUAGUAAGUCUGUGGUGAAAUCUCUGAGCUUAACUCAGAAAUUGCCGUGGAUACUAUUAAUCUUGAAUGUCGUUGAGGUUAGCGGAAUAUGUCAUGUAGCGGUGAAAUGCUUAGAUAUGACAUAGAACACCAAUUGCGAAGGCAGCUGGCUAAACGAAUAUUGACGCUGAGGCACGAAAGCGUG
This 520-nucleotide ribosomal RNA is filed under the name uncultured Bacteroidota bacterium. RNAcentral's name for it is "bacterial SSU rRNA". It matches the Rfam family "Bacterial small subunit ribosomal RNA", at positions 246 to 763 of the family's 1533-position model. Lineage: Bacteria; Pseudomonadati; Bacteroidota. The record is from RNAcentral.